Long non-coding RNA from Cotesia glomerata, 161 nucleotides. RefSeq lists it as uncharacterized. NCBI's taxonomy places the organism in Eukaryota, Metazoa, Arthropoda, Insecta, Hymenoptera, Braconidae. The record is from RefSeq and is a predicted model, not a curated record. The transcript has 3 exons.
UUUGGAGUGAAAAGAUCACUAUACAUUAUAUAUAUUUUUUGUCUUUCAUGUCUAGAUAUAUUUUUAUUUAUUUGUAAAGUUCAAAACAUUGAAUUAACGCUUGUAACGUUGGAAACGUUGGAAUAACGUUGGAGAUUUUGACUCGGGUAAGCGCUUAAAAU